RNAcentral lists this ribosomal RNA (514 nucleotides) under Alternaria alternata. RNAcentral describes it as "eukaryotic LSU rRNA". The stretch from base 152 to 305 matches the Rfam family "5.8S ribosomal RNA". Lineage: Eukaryota; Fungi; Ascomycota; Dothideomycetes; Pleosporales; Pleosporaceae. The record is from RNAcentral.
GCGGGCUGGACCUCUCGGGGUUACAGCCUUGCUGAAUUAUUCACCCUUGUCUUUUGCGUACUUCUUGUUUCCUUGGUGGGUUCGCCCACCACUAGGACAAACAUAAACCUUUUGUAAUUGCAAUCAGCGUCAGUAACAAAUUAAUAAUUACAACUUUCAACAACGGAUCUCUUGGUUCUGGCAUCGAUGAAGAACGCAGCGAAAUGCGAUAAGUAGUGUGAAUUGCAGAAUUCAGUGAAUCAUCGAAUCUUUGAACGCACAUUGCGCCCUUUGGUAUUCCAAAGGGCAUGCCUGUUCGAGCGUCAUUUGUACCCUCAAGCUUUGCUUGGUGUUGGGCGUCUUGUCUCUAGCUUUGCUGGAGACUCGCCUUAAAGUAAUUGGCAGCCGGCCUACUGGUUUCGGAGCGCAGCACAAGUCGCACUCUCUAUCAGCAAAGGUCUAGCAUCCAUUAAGCCUUUUUUUCAACUUUUGACCUCGGAUCAGGUAGGGAUACCCGCUGAACUUAAGCAUAUCA